This is an RNA transcript of Cephus cinctus (wheat stem sawfly), 2437 nucleotides long. It is a transcript of the gene named single-pass membrane and coiled-coil domain-containing protein 4 homolog, with no coding region annotated. The transcript is spliced from 10 exons. The record is from RefSeq and is a predicted model, not a curated record. Lineage: Eukaryota; Metazoa; Arthropoda; Insecta; Hymenoptera; Cephidae.
AUCUCUUAAUAAUAGUGUCUUUGAUUAAACAUAUACUAUAUUUGUCGUUUGAAUAAUCUCGGGUUUUGAUAUCGCUAAAACGUAUACCCACUAUAGCCGGAUUCCUGAACUAUAUCGAACGUUGUUGCAUACGUCACACAAAAGAGAAACUAGCGACGCUAGUGGUACAGAAAGAAAACGUAGGGUGGACGAUAUUGGUAGCAGGUUCUGUCAAUUUUCCCAUUUGAGUUCGUGCUCCUUGUGUAGUCUCCAUGUUCAGUGGGUUUAAUUAUUACCGAUCUAAGGGAAUUGGUGGAGGGUGCCCGUAGCCCAGUGGAUAGGGUAGCGGAUUCACGACCGAAAAGGUUGGAGGUUAGCGCCCAGCUUCCAGCGGCAUUCACCAAUAUGUUUUUAUAUGAAAAUUUAAGUCCCCUCACGCUGAGUUGAAUAAGGCCCGUCUCGCAAGAAUAGCCGUGUAUUUGAUCAUCGGCGUAGUGUAAUCAGCUGUCGAGAAGCGGAAGCGAACACCAUGGUUUGCUACGUGUCGAAUGUGUAACAAUUUGUGACAUUAACGGUAUCGUUCAAAGAUUAUAUUACAAUCUAUUCAUUGUUUAUAAGUACAGCAAUGCGGCAGCUGAAGGGAAAGACCAAAGAAACCAAGAAGCAAAAGAAGGAACGCAAAAAGGAAUUUCUUGAAAACAAGCAACGAAUUUUUACUGUUGUAUUACCAACAAUGACUGCAAUUGUUUUAAUCAUUGCAACAUAUGUUUUCUUUAAAACACGUCCAAAAGUGGUGGAAUACUAAUAUCCUUGAAAUUGCAAAUUAAUUUGUUAACUUUCUGGGUGGUUAUUUUAAGAAAGAUAUAUUUAAAUAUUAUUACUAUGUUAUGUAAAAAAUAGAAUGUACCAUGUAGGACACAACCAUUUUUCUAAGGCAAUUGAAUGUUCUAUAUGUGUGCAUCAAUAGUUUUGAAAUCUGUGUAAAGUACUAUAAUAAUAUUACAUUAAAAAUGGAUGGUUACUAUGAAUUAGUUAUUUUUACAAGAAUUUUACAAAAAAUGUUCAAGACAUGAUAUCAGUUAACAAGCUAUUUCAAAGACUAUAUAAAAUUAAACAUUCAAUUUGAAUAUAUGAUUAUUUUCCUAUGACUAUAAGUGUUACUGAAUAAAAAGAUUUUGUGUUAUAAUUUAGGGCAGAGCACUUUCUUGCAAACAAAAAACAUUCAUUUUCUAUCAAGCAAACAAACGCGCGUGGACAUAAAAAAUAUAAUACUUCUAGGGUACGUUUCAUUUAACGCACGGACGCUCACGACUUCAGCCGUUCCACUAGUCUGUGAACGUCGCAAGCGUUACGGGCUACAGUCUUAAGUGGAACGCCUUGGAGGCAACUGAAGCUAAUGCAACAUGGCUGCUAUUAAGUUAAAGCGUCAACAACAAUUGUGAAUCCCAUUGAAAUUGCUGUUGCAUUUCUGCUUCGUCGAAAAAGAGUCAAUGGCGGUGUUUCUGUUGAACAUACCCAAUGAGUCUGAAAGUUCAUUAAGUUUCAACGAGGAAUGAGAAGCUUUGCGAAUGCGAGGAAGAUGAGAACUUCGUCUACGAGUUAGAGAAUGUCAAAGGCUACAUUUGAAUAUCUUCUCAGCAUCAUUGAAGAAGAUAUAACCAGGAAAAUGAAAAGCUGCCCAACUGUCCCUGCUCACUAGCAGGUAAUGAUAGCCCUUUGAAAAAUGGCUACUAUGGACUCGUACAGAUCUAUUUGUGAUCGGUUUAAUGUUGGGAGGGCUACAGGUCUUUGAGCUGUGCAAAGAGUCACUCAUGCUCUGUUCAGAUGGUCAGCAAAAUUCAUUCAAUAGCUUACUGAUAAUAGAGUUUUUUAAGUAAUGCAAAGAUUUAAAAAAGCUAGCGAAUUUCCAAAAACUAUGGAGCCAUUAAUGCUACCUACAUUUGUAUUGAUGCUCCAAAGGGAAACACAGCAGAUUAUAUUAAUCUUAAAGGUUUUUAUUACAUUCAAUUGCAGUUGGUGUGUGACUGUGACGUGCAGGGCAUUAUUACACGUCUAGCAAAGUUAAUCUCUCGCGUUACGCAUGGAAGUUUAUUUUUAGGGGGUCUCAUGUCCCUGGUUCCUGAAUCUUACAAGUUGACUUGCGAGCAAUGUAUGAUGUGUUGGUACUUCCGGCGGACGACGGAGUCUGCGGAGCGUUUUUCUACGUGGGUCCGCCCUCCUUGAUGUUGAAGGUGUGGUUGAAGACGGGGAAAAUUUUAAUUCCGUCCUGUUCGCGUCAUCGUCCGAGAAUGCGGACAAUCAACCAAGUGCAGGCGAUCUGCGAGCGCCGACAGAUGCUGCGAGUGAUGACCGACGUCAUCUGGGCGCAUAACAAUGCAGAGGACGACCCCCUUGGGCUGGGCCGAUUAUUCUUGAUUUAGUGGAAAAAUAAAGAGCAAUAGUUUUCGUGGCUACAUAA